GAACGACUCUCGGCAACGGAUAUCUCGGCUCUUGCAUCGAUGAAGAACGUAGCGAAAUGCGAUACUUGGUGUGAAUUGCAGAAUCCCGUGAACCAUCGAGUCUUUGAACGCAAGUUGCGCCUGAAGCCACUAGGUUGAAGGCACGUCUGCCUGGGCGUCA
Molecule: ribosomal RNA, 160 nt
Filed under: Chamaedaphne calyculata
Lineage: Eukaryota; Viridiplantae; Streptophyta; Magnoliopsida; Ericales; Ericaceae
Description: 5.8S ribosomal RNA
Rfam family: 5.8S ribosomal RNA
About the family: 5.8S ribosomal RNA (5.8S rRNA) is a component of the large subunit of the eukaryotic ribosome. It is transcribed by RNA polymerase I as part of the 45S precursor that also contains 18S and 28S rRNA.
Source: RNAcentral